Molecule: ribosomal RNA, 435 nt
Filed under: uncultured Clostridium sp.
Lineage: Bacteria; Bacillati; Bacillota; Clostridia; Eubacteriales; Clostridiaceae
Description: partial 16S ribosomal RNA
Rfam family: Bacterial small subunit ribosomal RNA
Source: RNAcentral
ACGGGAGGCAGCAGUGGGGAAUAUUGCACAAUGGGGGAAACCCUGAUGCAGCGACGCCGCGUGAGCGAUUGAAGUAUUUCGGUAUGUAAAGCUCUAUCAGCAGGGAAGAAAAUGACGGUACCUGACUAAGAAGCUCCGGCUAAAUACGUGCCAGCAGCCGCGGUAAUACGUAUGGAGCAAGCGUUAUCCGGAUUUACUGGGUGUAAAGGGAGCGUAGACGGAACAGCAAGUCUGAUGUGAAAGGCAGGGGCUCAACUCCUGGACUGCAUUGGAAACUGUUGAUCUUGAGUGUCGGAGAGGUAAGCGGAAUUCCUAGUGUAGCGGUGAAAUGCGUAGAUAUUAGGAGGAACACCAGUGGCGAAGGCGGCUUACUGGACGAUCACUGACGUUGAGGCUCGAAAGCGUGGGGAGCAAACAGGAUUAGAUACCCUGGUA